CCCCUUCUCCUAGCCGUUGGUUCGACGACUGGAAGACCUAGCCCCAGCACGGCAUUCCGCACGGCGAUGGCCAGACGAUCGUCCCCUCUUCCCCGACCUGUCCGCGGCAGACAUGCGAACGCUUCGCGCCGCGCUGAUCUGUUUCCGCCCCAGAUUCGUUCUGGUUCGCGAGCUACGGUAGCCCUGCAACUGGGGGGUCAUCGUUGAGGGCCCAGAUUUGAAGGCCAUUGUAAUAGAUUGGAGAAAAACAUAUCAUUGAAUGUAAUUGUAUACACCUCCUUCCAAUCAGCACCUGUAGAAAAUAUGGAAAUGUGAUGCUGCAAAGGUCAUGUUGUCUUGCCAGUUCCAUGAAUGAAAUACCAAGGUAAGAUCGCCAAAUUUGUUUCCCAUAACCAAUUCUUCGGACUUGUAUCUUUUCUUCAGAGUUAUGAUUAUCAUUUGCAAAAGUAUGGUUCACUUAAAAUAUGAUUUUCCAAAUAUUAUCCAUCUUUUGUUUCUCAGUGAUUACUUAGGUCCAUUGUAUCUAUAGUGUAAAAAGAACACACAAAGCAAUUAAGUUGAUACAUGCAAAUGCUAGUGUAAUUAAUUGCUACUGUUAGGGACUCGUUUCGGACAAGUGCAGGACUGAUUACUUGAGUGGAGGGUUGCUGAGGAUCAUUCGUAGUUAAAGUGCACCUUCCAUAGUUACUAGGUUUUCAUGAUACCAAGGUAAGAUCGCCAAAUUUGUUUCCCAUAACCAAUUCUUCGGACUUGUAUCUUUUCUUCAGAGUUAUGAUUAUCGUUUGCAAAAGUAUAGUUCACUUAAAAUAUGAUUUUCCAAAUAUUAUCCAUCUUUUGUUUCUCAGUGAUUACUUAGGUCCAUUGUAUCUAUAGUGUAAAAGGAACACACAAAGCAAUUAAGUUGAUACAUGCAAAUUCUAGUGUAAUUAAUUGCUACUGUUAGGGACUCGUUUUGGACAAGUGCAGGACUGAUUACUUGAGUGGAGGGUUGCUGAGGAUCAUUCGUAGUUAAAGUGCACCUUCCAUAGUUACUAGGUUUUCAUGAUACCUCAAGGAUUGUUAUGUCUGUGCACAGCCGUAGUUACUUAGAAUGGCAUAUUGUAGUAGAUACAUGGCACUAUUAUUGACGGUUUAUGACACUGCAGGUUCAACUAUUCAUUUCUAGUAAUUUGGAAACUAAAUUUUGUAAGGAGUAGGUACAGUUAAAUUUAUUUCUUAAUAAAUAGCACAAUAGUAAUGUCAAGGAAAAGUAAUAUACCUUGUUGCAAGUACAUGAUGCAUUUGCCCAUAUCACUUAUUCGGUUAGACUGAAAUUUUAAGCGCUCAUCUCCUUUGGAAGACUAACUUCCAGGAAGUACAAGCUGCCAAUUGAAGUUUAUCGAACGUCAAGAGACAUUUCCAAACAUAUGUGCAUUGAUGUGAAGGAAAAUGUAGCUGAUAUAAAUGGUACUGGUACACCAAUUUAUGUAUCGGUGCAUUGUUAGAUAAUGUUAAUCAAAUAGUUUUUGUAUCAAUUCCUCAUCAAAUUAUGAUCUUAUAUCACUACAUCUUUAUGAGUUUUCUUCUGUAUAUUACUAAUACAGCCCCUUAAAUUUGUGUGAAGCAGUUGUUUCUCUAUAUGUAACGAGUCAUGAACAAAAGGUAUUCCGAAGUCUUUUUAGAUAGUUAUAUAUUGGACUAAAAUUCAUUAAGUUAUAAAAAAUAUGAAGAUACAAAUUUUCAUACAAGACCUUUGUGAUUUUUCAGUUUUGACAUACUGGCACACAUAAAAGAUAAUUGCCUUAUGUAAUUUGAAUUGCAUUGCGUAUCAUAUGAGUGUAAGUGUAACACACCUCAUGGACAUAAAAGCCAUGCCAACGAAUACAGCUUUCACAGCAUCCUUGCGUCCAGCGUAUUCAAUUGCUAAUGGCAGCAUCUCAUACAGUGUCAGAAAUGCCAUUACUCCUCCCACUGUGCAAAAUGGAAAAUUUGAAUAAAUAUUAUGUUACUUACCAAAACUUAUUAACAUUUUUGAACUGUUUGUUUCUCAUUACCUAAUCCAAGUAGACCUUCCAAUAUUUCUGGAUUUAAGUUGCUCGGAAAUAGAUAUGCUGCAAGUAGCACAAUUUUAUACUCAUUGUUUGAGAUACAAAAGAGGAAAAUAGAAAUGAAGUGCACAAACUCAACCUAGGAUAUUACUCAUUGAAGGGGAAAAAAAUCUGCUUGUAAAGAUAAGUGCUAGAGAAAGAUUAGUUGCAAUUGGUUGUUUGCUUUUAAUGCAGCUCUGCAUCUCAUUGAUUAGAGCAUUUUUUAUGCUCUAGUAUGUAGCACGAUCCAUUUUCAAUGACUGAGCUUCUCAAACAGAUAGUAACAUGGGUCAGUACAUCAUGACCUCAUGGGGAAAACUCAAUUGCUUUGAACAAGUCACUUGUAAUAAAAUAAGCGAAGUCAACAUACCCACGAUAAUUACACCUAUUGGCUCUGCAAAACCAGCAAGUGUUGCUAGUUUGAACGCCUGCCAUUUGCUGCAUCAUAGACACAAAAUAACAUUAUUAUUAAACUGCAAAGCUUAUUUUCUUUCCAAAUCAGUGUGACUAUAAUAUUUAUUAUGAACACUUAAUGUAUUUUAGCAAUUAUACGCUUCUUUUUUAUUAUACAACAAAUUAUAUGCUUCUUCAGGUAAUAACUAGUUCGACUAGCCUUCUGAUUUUUUUUUUUGAGGGAACUAGCCUUCUGAAUUAAACCAACUAAGCUGUGACUAUUUUCUGAUCAUUAAGACGAGAUUUUGUAUAAAAUACUCCUACAUGUAAUUCAAUACUGUCAUAUUAAAAUAUGUACUUCCUUGUUUAGCUGCAAGUCUCCUCAACCCGGAAUUCGCAUAGACCAAGAAAGCACUAUAUCUAAUAAGUGAUGAGGAAUGACCAUGCAUACCCCUAUUAAAUGAGAUACUGCAAGCACUUAACUCUUCCAGAGCAUGCUAAGUAGGGGUAGAAUGGAGUAUUGCAUUAACCUAUUGACCCCUCGAUGGAUAGUUAUUUCGAAGUUGAGACUUCUCAGGCCAGGGACAGUUAAUAGUGAAGGUGAGAGAGCGUAAAAUAUAUGAUGCAUAUUGCACAAUAUUUUAGCUAGUACCUGCAAGUGGCAAAAUAUGCAGGGAGAGCUACAGCAAUACCCUGCACAUGAACAGAAAAUUCCUACAAGUAUUAGCAGAUUCUUUGAUCUUGUAAACUUAGCUAUGUCAUGAGAAAUAUACCAAUUUUUCAUAAGAGUCAGUUGUGUAAAAUUCACCACACUAUUGUAUUGUAUUAUUAUGUAUCUUAAAUGGCAUAUCUGCUAUGCACUUGCACCGUGAAAAGGUAGGGAGUAUCUAGUCCCAAUUUUGUAUGUUGGUGACUGAUUGAGAUUGAGAAUGGAAGUUCCACUUUCAGUUUCCGCCAAAAGGGGUAUAGUUUAAGUCAUUGUAGAUACUUAGAUGACAUUUUCUGUUCCAUACCCAUUCCCUAUUCCAUCUAAAAGCCAUUAUAGAUUCAGUUACCUCCGGGAUGUAGUGUAGAGCUAUAGCAAUAACCAAGUUAAGGCCAACACGAAAUCCCUGAAAGGUAGAUAAGAUUAGUAGGAUAUACAACAAAUAUUACUACUCUUCGAUAUGUUAACUCAGUGUCUUGUUCAUACUUAUUCGAUAUGUUAACAGUGUUAUGGGCUAAAAUAAACAUGUGUCCAGAAUAACAGCAAAACUGCUAUUCUACUAUAACAUGCACGAACGGAGAUGUAACAUCUGUAGACACAUGACCCGUAGAUUUUGUUGUAUGGAGUGUUCAGUACUUCCAUAUGAUUUAUCAGGUAUAUAAAUUAAUAGAAAUAAUACCAGUCAAUAAUAUAUAUAUAUAUAUAUAUAUAUAUAUAUAUAUAUAUAUUCAACUACCUGUCAAUAAUAUAAUUGAAAUUUAUCAUAAAAAUUAAUUCAAUGGCGAAGGAUACAUAUACAAAAGCAAUUUACUGUUUUUGUCAAAUUUUGUAUGCUUGCCUAUAAUAUACUGUAUUUUCUCAAAUAUAUACCUUUGCGGUUCCGAGAAACGCUGCAGUACCCACCGGGAAGUUUUGCAAACUCACACCAGCAACUGUUGACAUGAGAACUUCGUUCAUCAAUGCGAUCAUGGAAAAUAAUAAACUUGUAGGAAAGGGGCAUAUCGUUACGUGUAUAUGCAUAUAUCGCCCUACCUAAUUUUGAUAACUUUGUAUUUUCAUGUGCGUGAUUUAUUUUUUCUGACAUGCGUACUUUAUGGAAAACUACUGCUGCUAUCACUUGCCAAGAUAGAAUUAGUUUUAGGUGUUCAACAGGCGCUGUUGAAAUAUAACUAUUUUUUGGUCAUAACUACUUUUACUGCCAGUAUCACUUGUUAAAUCAUGUCCAUGAUCUUGAACUGUAUUUAGGUGUUCAAUUUGAGUAAUUAAUCUAAUAUUUCUGUACACUGUCUUGUAUGAACAAGCCCCAUACAUUUAUUUGGUGUCAAUAUGCUCAAGCUCGGUACUAAAAUGUUAGGUAUAAUUAUAUAAGAAAAUCAUCUGAAAGAACACCUAUCACCAAAAAUUGGAUUUCUGUAUAAAUUAUUAAAGGGCAUGUUUUGUCUUUCCGGGCUCAUGUUGUUGAAAACACUGUGAUGCAUUUUUGGUACUAUAUGUUACAAGUUUUGCAAGUACAUAGGACUUACCAACUGCGGUGACAAUUACACUAAAGAUGACUCUUCUUCGGUGUCUCAUCAUAAGUUCCUUCCGUGCUGUACUGUUAACAGUCUUCUUCCCCAAAUGAAAAACAUAAUGGAUAAUCCUAUGUUACUUUUUUGAUAAAUGCCGAUUGAAAAAGGCUGUUAGCAAAGUUGAGGGAAUUUAUACUUCUUUGUCAUUUUCAUCCGGCGGGCUGCAUUCUGGCUCAGGGAAAAUAUCGGCAAUUGCUGAAAAUAGAAGUGCUCCAGCAAAAAACUGCAAAGCAAGGAUGAAAAAGGUAAGAAAUGGUACAAAUGCUUUGCAAAACAUCUUGCUUAAAAAGCUCACCCAAAGGUUGCCUUUCAGAAAACCAAUUGCAUUAACAGCAUCAUAGGCCAGGUCAAAGAAGGACAUGCUCAACAUGAGCCCAGUAGCAAAUCCCUAUAAAGAAGUUGUCAAACGAUUAUUAAAUGUUGAUUUGUGUACAAAUAAACCUAUGUUGUUCUUUCAAUGUGACCUUAUGGCAGAGUUGAGGAAAUUGUUGUAGCAUUUCACCUGUAGUAUCCCGAGUGUUCUGUUGUUUGGUGCAUGAUUUAGUAUUGCCAGUAGUGCACCUGAUGAGUAGCAAUAAAGUAUCAUUGGCAAAAGUAGUAGGCAAAUGCUAGCUAUCAAGAGGUACACCAUCUUGCAUUUGAUCUCUGCCUAGUCUAUAUCAUUCCAACGCUUUCCAAAUAGAUUAUGGGAAAGCUCCCAUUGAGAAAUAAAAUUGCUUUUGGCUGUCACUUGAGUGAUAGCAAUAAUAGUAUCUAUAAAGCAUCAGCUUAUGGGCCCUCUAUUCACGUUAGAUCCUGGUUAUAUCAUAUUGGGUUGCUUACGAACUUAACACUUAAAGGCUUACUAACUAAACACUUGUCAGUUUUAAAAGCUGGAGCGUCUUUCCAGAAAACUUAAACCUACACUAAAAGGCUAGUUGGUGUCGAGGAUGGGUAGGGUGAGUCGGACACAGUGCAGAGAUGUAGGGGGAUACAAAUUUGGGCGAUGAGCGAGUGGAUUCUGCCGUGGAAGCGGGUGUGCUGAACUAACAGGUAAGGACGUGUAAUCCUCAUGCUCAUGUGUGCUUCAUCGAAAAUAAUGUGUACACAAAUUCUUCCCAUUCUUGGUGUAACAGUAGCAGUCUAUUUUCUCUCAGCUGUUAGAUGCCAAGUAUAAACUGAAAAGAUUAAUUGCUCAAUAUUAUGUUUCACUUUGAACAAACUACCAUACUAACGGCCCACAUAACAUUCUCACAGGAUAUUUAUGGAUGCCCCCAUGGACCUUGUACAAUUUCGUGCUUAAGAUGUACUGUGAGAAAUGAAUCUUGAUUGGAGCAACUAAAUGGAAAACCCACACUACCAGUUACAGCUUUUAAAGGGAAACAAUUGCAAAGGCAAUGCAUGCAUCAAAUGAAACACUUGAUGCCAAUGAUGAAUACUACUCCCUCCGUUCCUAAAUAUAAGUCUUUUUAGAGAUUCCAACAUGGACUACAUAUGGAUGUAUAUAGACAUAUUUUAGAGUGUAGAUUCACUCAUUUUGCUCCGUAUGUAGUCCAUGCUGGAAUCUCUAAAAAGACUUAUAUUUAUGAACGGAGGGAGUACAUGAUAAUAGUAUGAAGAGACAGCAGGAGUGAAGGGCUGAAGGAAGAUGCAUGUAAGCGUACCGAGGGAGGUGCUUAAGCCACCUACGAGAGACAGGGUGAGAGCAACAGCGACCUUGGGAUCCAUAUGAACAGACCGGCUUCUGAUGGAGAUGUAUGUGACCUUUAUAUACAGGCCAGGAUGGUGACUAUGACGUUAGGCAGUCAAGGAGUCCCUGUGUGCGGGGCAACCGAUGAUGUAACUGAAUGGAAAGAAGAGGGAGGGGUGAUCAAGUGGAGCUGCUGGCGCCUGGUUAUAUAUUAGCUUGAACAUCUACUCAGAGAAGUUGAGGGGGGCAAGUUUGGAAUGACUUGGCACAUGCUUGCUUGCUUGGCAGCUGCCCUUAAUUCUUGGACUUCCUGGUGGUUGGGGUAUGCCUGCGGGUAAGGUCAUGCUGUGAGGUAACUCUAUGCUAGAUUUCUUGUGUGUAGAUGGGAAGAAAGCUAUUUGGGACUAGGAAUCUUACAAGCUGACUGGCAGAGCCUUGCUAAAACACGAGGGACGUAUCUUAUUUUGUUUUUGUAUGGAAUUACAUCAUGUAAGCACUAAAUUUUGAUUUUUCAUCGUAUAAAUUGCAGCACCGUAUUAGUUA
Molecule: long non-coding RNA, 6945 nt
Organism: Triticum aestivum (bread wheat)
Lineage: Eukaryota; Viridiplantae; Streptophyta; Magnoliopsida; Poales; Poaceae
Exons: 2
Source: RefSeq, a predicted model, not a curated record